This is a long non-coding RNA of Pantherophis guttatus, 264 nucleotides long. RefSeq lists it as uncharacterized. Lineage: Eukaryota; Metazoa; Chordata; Lepidosauria; Squamata; Colubridae. The record is from RefSeq and is a predicted model, not a curated record.
CAGGAGCUGACCCCAUCACAAGGUUGCUCAGGUUUUGAACCUGGACUGCUGGCUUGCCAUCCAACAAGCCUAGCAUCUUAGCUAUUGAGUCCUCAUGCCACCACUAACAGAAUAAGGGUUAACAGGAUAAAAACUGUCCAUCCUGCGUGAAACCCAAGAAACUAGGAACAAUCUCUUGUGAGACAUUAGCUAUGCUCCCAUUCCUUCUGUGAACGUGACUGCCUCUUAUCUGACCAAUGAUGGAAAUUAAAAUCUAAGAAUGGA